This 254-nucleotide ribosomal RNA is filed under the name uncultured bacterium. RNAcentral describes it as "partial 16S ribosomal RNA". It matches the Rfam family "Bacterial small subunit ribosomal RNA", at positions 524 to 776 of the family's 1533-position model. The record is from RNAcentral.
UACGUAGGGUGCAAGCGUUGUCCGGAAUUAUUGGGCGUAAAGAGCUCGUAGGCGGUCUGUCGCGUCUGGUGUGAAAAUCCAGGGCUUAACCCUGGACCUGCAUCGGGUACGGGCAGACUAGAGUGCAGUAGGGGAGACUGGAAUUCCUGGUGUAGCGGUGAAAUGCGCAGAUAUCAGGAGGAACACCGAUGGCGAAGGCAGGUCUCUGGGCUGUAACUGACGCUGAGGAGCGAAAGCAUGGGGGAGCGAACAGG